RNAcentral lists this long non-coding RNA (434 nucleotides) under Malus domestica (apple). RNAcentral's name for it is "long non-coding RNA (MDOM_LNC001960)". Lineage: Eukaryota; Viridiplantae; Streptophyta; Magnoliopsida; Rosales; Rosaceae. The record is from RNAcentral.
CCUCUUCCGCUUCCACUUCUGCUUCCGCUUCUGCUUCCACUCAAAUCCUUCAAGUAAUUUUCUGAGGAUUUACUGAGGCUUGCAGGUUUCGUAUUCAAUCCCAAAAAACCUUGCCCCAGAUCUUUGCUUUUCAAUUGCUCCUCCUCACUUCCGCUUCUGCUUCUGCUUCCGCUCAAAUCCUUCAAGUAAUUUUCUGAGGAUUUACUGAGGCUUGCAGGUUUCGUAUUCAAUCCCAAAAAUCCUUGCCCCAGAUCUUUGCUGUUCAAUUGCUCCUCCUCACUUCCGCUUCCGCUUCUGCUUCCACUCAAAUCCUUCAAGUAAUUUUCUGAGGAUUUACCGAGGCUUGCAGGUUUCGUAUUCAAUCCCAAAAAUCCAUGCCCCAAUUCUUUGCUUUUCAAUUGCUCCUCCUCACUUCCGCUUCCGCUUCCGCUUCC